UACAGAGGGGGCGAGCGUUGUUCGGAAUUACUGGGCGUAAAGGGCGCGUAGGCGGCCGGCUAAGUCAGACGUGAAAUCCCCGGGCUCAACCCGGGAACUGCGUCUGAUACUGGCUGGCUGGAGUCCGGGAGAGGGAAGCGGAAUUCCAGGUGUAGCGGUGAAAUGCGUAGAUAUCUGGAGGAACACCGGUGGCGAAGGCGGCUUCCUGGACCGGUACUGACGCUGAGGCGCGAAAGCCAGGGGAGCAAACGGG
This 253-nucleotide ribosomal RNA is filed under the name uncultured bacterium. RNAcentral's name for it is "partial 16S ribosomal RNA". It matches the Rfam family "Bacterial small subunit ribosomal RNA", at positions 524 to 776 of the family's 1533-position model. The record is from RNAcentral.